GCCUACUUAGCUCCGAAGGUAGAGCAUCGCCUUUGUAAUGCGAUGGUCAUCGGUCCGAUUCCGAUAGUAGGCU
RNAcentral lists this transfer RNA (73 nucleotides) under Downingia elegans. Its description in RNAcentral is "tRNA-Thr". It matches the Rfam family "tRNA". From Rfam's summary of the family: Transfer RNA (tRNA) molecules are approximately 80 nucleotides in length. Their secondary structure includes four short double-helical elements and three loops (D, anti-codon, and T loops). Lineage: Eukaryota; Viridiplantae; Streptophyta; Magnoliopsida; Asterales; Campanulaceae. The record is from RNAcentral.